AGAACACAAUGCAGGAAUCAAUCGAGCUGUCACUCAAUACAGAUGGUGACUCAAUCCCAGAUGUUUCAGAUGAGCUCCAGAUGGUGAAGAAGUACUGUGAUGAACUGAAGGAAAACUCAGUUGAAGAACCACCACUAUAUAUGAGUGCUGAUCCACCUGUCCCAGCAACCCAUUCAUGACGUGUGCAUAGGUUUGCUCAGUGGAGAGAAUCAGCAGAUGCCUGAUCACCCACUGAAGGUCCCUGUGGGCACACCGAUCCCUCAGAGACAUGACACCUCUGGAUUUGAUCUCAACCAUUUUUGUCAAGUUAUUGUAUCUGUAGGAGGAAUAGCCUUCUACACUCCUCCAGAACCUUCUAAGUAAAUGGACAGAGUGAGUGGGCCAUUCUGAGGGUCAAAUGUUUACGCCUCUGCCCCCAGCCUCACCUCAUUCUUGAGGAACUCUUUCACCGUCAUCCUGGCAUCAAGAGUGGUAAAGGUGUGAAUUGGAAACCCUCCAGAUCAUAGCUGCUGACUUUUAAGUUCACCACAUGCUCUCCCCUUUUUGUCAUCUCUAUGGGAACCACACCAGCUAUAUCUAAUUCACAACCUGGUGAAGAGGAGAAACAGAUGUGGGGGUCGUAAAUUCAGUAUGCAUUCCUGAGCAGAAACCAAGUUUCUCUUGUAACCAAAUGGAAAUGUCGCUUGAAAGUAAAACUAUACAUUUUAUCCAUGUUCUAACAUUGUAACUGUGCAUAAUCCUUUUUGUUAGUUGAAUGAUUUUUUUCCACUCUUGUAGGUCAUAGUAUGAGUGAGUUAUAGUUUCAUGUGUUUAAUCCCUCAUUUUACAUGGAGUCAUACUGCCAUCUUGUGACGAUAGUUAAGAAGGGUUCCCGUAAGGAAUCCCAUAUUUUGAGUUGAAAUAUAUUUGGAUUGAUUAAUCAACUUGUCUUUAUUAAUAUGUGCUUUCUCAUUUAGUAUGUUGAUACAAUUGCAGACUAGUUUGUAGUGUUGGUGCACGAAACAUUUAUACUUGUGUUCCGCUGAUAUAUGCUUUAUAAUAAUCAUAUUGAAUUUAAUUUGAUGUUGAGCCGAUUUUGACCAUAAUGGGAAGAGUAUGUGUCUAUCACGCCUAACGUGUUAAAGUGGGUUAGGGUUAGGAUCGAAUUUAUUUUAAACUUUUAAGUUUUAAGUCUGUCCUGAGUUUUCUUUCUUUUUGUCUGUGCCUUCAGUAACAUUAUAACCUGAAGCGACGAAGCCAGCCGAUUGCAACAUUUUUAUAUGCAUUGAUAAUAACUGAUAAUUAUAUCGAUUGUUUUCAACCUUAUUAUAAGCGAGUAGCCACAGCUAAAUAGAUAAGCUACUGCAACUCCAUCAAAGGUUCACCCCAAAAGCUGCCAGAGCUGCAAAAUACCUGAAUUCGCUCUAGCAGCGCCACUGGUGAAAUAUUUGUGGCAGCGAAAACAGCUCAAGUCGCUCGUGACGUCAAAUUCUGAACAUUCCAUUAUGCUUCUUAAUUUAAAUGAGCCGCAAAGCAGGUUACGGGCUGGAGCACAGAAAUGUAACUUUGUGCAUUUGCCUGAGUACAGAAACUUUCACGUUUGGACAAUGAAAACAGAAUAAAGUCUAAAUAGGUCUGACAUUAAACAUUAAACACACACAGCCUGUGUUGCGUUCAGGCGUUGUCACGUAAAUAACAAAUUCCAGUACUUGAAUACACCGUAGCACAACACAGCAGCGUGUCAAGUGGGCCAAACCCGAACUGAAUAUGAGCAUAUUUAAUUUGUUAUUCCCCCCAAAGCUGUAAACCUAGGGGAAACACUGUAAGUGGUUUGGGUUCGAGUGCCUACAGUGCGAUUAGUGAAACUGGUGGUAAGGAGAGCAAAUUAAUUGCACUCCCGCUAAUAACAAGCGUUCCAGAACACAAAGAAAUUGUAUAAGCACGUGCGCUUGUCCACACUUGUGUAUCGAUUCAACAUGGAAGAAGACACUCUUGUAAUUUGUGCUGCUGUGUGGUACCUACGUGGAUGUAGCCGCCGUUGGCUCUGGGUUCACGAUAUCCUGCGGGGCCGUGAACAGCACAGGGAAUAUCAUCGGCUGGUGCGGGAGCUGUGGCUGGAUGGGAAGAGGUUCCAGCGCUACUUCAGGCUGAACAUAGAUCAGUUUGACAGCUUGCUGCUUGUUUUGAAGUAGGAACGAAUGUGUGGUAGGAACUAAAAGCUUCCAAGGAUGUUCUCUGGGUUCCACACAAGUGAUGGACAUCUACAUUCCGACUGGUUGCUGGUCAUUUGCAGUUCAAACGCGUCAUAGCUAAUUUGCAUAAAGUUAACCAGUCUUCAACUUUCAUUUGCAGCUCACUCCGCCAAACCGCCACUGCCCAUCGCUUUUGCAGCUCAAAGCGCAUCUAGUCGUCACGUCCAUUGAAAAUGAAUUAGACAUGUCGCCUUUGCAGCUCUAGCAGCUUUUGGUGUGAACGUACAGUAAGAGAACCAACGUUUGAGCGCCCAACCGCUCCUCCACCACUGUGUUCCAGCCGAUUUCAUUCUGCUGGGAAGUCCGGGAGCUGCAAAGUGACAAUCCGGUGUCCUUAGAGAAACAUCAGCCGGAGCCAACUCUGCUCAAAGUAGCCACUAUCGCCAAACUAAAUAACUGACAAAAGUGUUACCUCUUGUUUUAAUCCAUUUAUACAUACUGUUUAUUUUGUGUUAUUUCAUAUCAUCCUCAUUUACUACUCAUUUACUCAGUUGUUAAACAUUUAGCCCUAAAUAAAUCUUCAUUUCUCGCCAA
Molecule: non-coding RNA, 2765 nt
Organism: Epinephelus lanceolatus (giant grouper)
Lineage: Eukaryota; Metazoa; Chordata; Actinopteri; Perciformes; Serranidae
Source: RefSeq, a predicted model, not a curated record